RNAcentral lists this ribosomal RNA (443 nucleotides) under uncultured bacterium. RNAcentral's name for it is "partial 16S ribosomal RNA". It matches the Rfam family "Bacterial small subunit ribosomal RNA", at positions 338 to 795 of the family's 1533-position model. The record is from RNAcentral.
CCUACGGGAGGCAGCAGUGGGGAAUAUUGGGCAAUGGAGGCAACUCUGACCCAGCAACGCCGCGUGAAUGAUGAAGGUCUUCGGAUUGUAAAGUUCUUUUCUACGGGAAGAAGAAAGGGGCGGUACCUUAGGAAUAAGCCUCGGCUAACGACGGGCCAGCAGCCGCGUUAAUACGUAGGGGGCAAGCGUUAUCCGGAAUGACUGGGCGUAAAGGGGGCGUAGGUGGUUUGACAAGUUAGUAGCGCAACUCCGGGGCUCAACUUCGGAACUACUACUAAAACUGUUGGCCUUGAGUGCAGGGGAGGCAAUCGGAAUUCGUAGUGUAGCGGUGGAAUGCGUAGAUAUUAGGAGGAACACCAGUGGCGAAGGCGGCUUGCUAGACUGUAACUGACACUGAGGCACGAAAGCGUGGGGAGCAAACAGGAUUAGAUACCCUUGUAGUC